This 1041-nucleotide ribosomal RNA is filed under the name uncultured Pseudoalteromonas sp. RNAcentral's name for it is "bacterial SSU rRNA". It matches the Rfam family "Bacterial small subunit ribosomal RNA", at positions 120 to 1151 of the family's 1533-position model. The record is from RNAcentral. Lineage: Bacteria; Pseudomonadati; Pseudomonadota; Gammaproteobacteria; Alteromonadales; Pseudoalteromonadaceae.
GGCCCAAGCCUGGGAGGUGGGGGAACAGUUGGAACGACUGCUAAUACCGCAUAAUGUCUACGGACCAAAGGGGGCUUCGGCUCUCGCCUUUAGAUUGGCCCAAGUGGGAUUAGCUAGUUGGUGAGGUAAUGGCUCACCAAGGCGACGAUCCCUAGCUGGUUUGAGAGGAUGAUCAGCCACACUGGGACUGAGACACGGCCCAGACUCCUACGGGAGGCAGCAGUGGGGAAUAUUGCACAAUGGGCGCAAGCCUGAUGCAGCCAUGCCGCGUGUGUGAAGAAGGCCUUCGGGUUGUAAAGCACUUUCAGUCAGGAGGAAAGGUUAGUAGUUAAUACCUGCUAGGUGUGACGUUACUGACAGAAGAAGCACCGGCUAACUCCGUGCCAGCAGCCGCGGUAAUACGGAGGGUGCGAGCGUUAAUCGGAAUUACUGGGCGUAAAGCGUACGCAGGCGGUUUGUUAAGCGAGAUGUGAAAGCCCCGGGCUCAACCUGGGAACUGCAUUUCGAACUGGCAAACUAGAGUGUGAUAGAGGGUGGUAGAAUUUCAGGUGUAGCGGUGAAAUGCGUAGAGAUCUGAAGGAAUACCGAUGGCGAAGGCAGCCACCUGGGUCAACACUGACGCUCAUGUACGAAAGCGUGGGGAGCAAACGGGAUUAGAUACCCCGGUAGUCCACGCCGUAAACGAUGUCUACUAGAAGCUCGGAGCCUCGGUUCUGUUUUUCAAAGCUAACGCAUUAAGUAGACCGCCUGGGGAGUACGGCCGCAAGGUUAAAACUCAAAUGAAAUUGGCGGGGGCCCGCACAAGCGGUGGAGCAUGUGGUUUAAUUUCGAUGCAACGCGAAGAAACCUUACCUUACACUUGGACAUACAGAGAACCUUACCAGAGGAUGGGUUGGUUGCUUUCGGGAAACUCUGAAUACAGGUGCUGCAUGGCUGUCGUCAGCUCGUGUUGGUGAGAUGUUGGUUUAAGUCCCGCACGAGCGCAUCCUAUAUCCUAGUUGCAUAGCAAGUAAUGCUUGAAGAACUCUCUUAGGAGAACUG